RNAcentral lists this ribosomal RNA (511 nucleotides) under uncultured bacterium. Its description in RNAcentral is "bacterial SSU rRNA". It matches the Rfam family "Bacterial small subunit ribosomal RNA", at positions 18 to 508 of the family's 1533-position model. The record is from RNAcentral.
CGUGGCUCAGAUUGAACGCUGGCGGCAGGCCUAACACAUGCAAGUCGAGCGGAAACGAGUUAUCUGAACCUUAGGGGGACGAUAACGGCGUCGAGCGGCGGACGGGUGAGUAAUGCCUAGGAAAUUGCCCUGAUGUGGGGGAUAACCAUUGGAAACGAUGGCUAAUACCGCAUAAUACCUUCGGGUCAAAGAGGGGGACCUUCGGGCCUCUCGCGUCAGGAUAUGCCUAGGUGGGAUUAGCUAGUUGGUGAGGUAAUGGCUCACCAAGGCGACGAUCCCUAGCUGGUCUGAGAGGAUGAUCAGCCACACUGGAACUGAGACACGGUCCAGACUCCUACGGGAGGCAGCAGUGGGGAAUAUUGCACAAUGGGCGCAAGCCUGAUGCAGCCAUGCCGCGUGUGUGAAGAAGGCCUUCGGGUUGUAAAGCACUUUCAGUCGUGAGGAAGGUAGUGUAGUUAAUAGCUGCAUUAUUUGACAUUAGCGACAGAAGAAGCACCGGCUAACUCCGUGC